UACAGAGGGGGCAAGCGUUGUUCGGAAUUACUGGGCGUAAAGGGCGCGUAGGCGGCCUGUUAAGUCGAACGUGAAAUCCCCGGGCUCAACCCGGGAACUGCGUCCGAUACUGGCAGGCUUGAAUCCGGGAGAGGGAUGCGGAAUUCCAGGUGUAGCGGUGAAAUGCGUAGAUAUCUGGAGGAACACCGGUGGCGAAGGCGGCAUCCUGGACCGGCAUUGACGCUCAUGCACGAAAGCGUGGGGAGCAAACAGG
RNAcentral lists this ribosomal RNA (253 nucleotides) under uncultured bacterium. RNAcentral describes it as "partial 16S ribosomal RNA". It matches the Rfam family "Bacterial small subunit ribosomal RNA", at positions 524 to 776 of the family's 1533-position model. The record is from RNAcentral.